GGCGCGUGCGGGGCCCGGCUUGGCGCUGCCUGAUGCUGCCGUUGCGGAGCGAGCUGGGCCCGGCGCCCGCGGGGGCUGUUGGGGUCCGGCCGCCCAGCCGGCCCCGGGCGGAGCUCAGCCGCGGCAGCGCGCGUUCCGCCGCCUCCUGCGGCGCGACUGUCCCCAUGCCUGUGUGUGAGCACUCUGUGCACCGGGAAAGAGAUGCUAGUAACAGAACCAACACACCAGAUGAUUUGGAGGGGAAUGAGAGUGAGGAGAAGGCUGAUGAAGAUAGCGAGAGGGAGGAAGAGUGGGAUACUGACCUUGAAAUAGAAGAAACCAAGGAAUCUUUUGACCCAACUGGAAAGACCAGAUACAUAGCAGCCUGCCAACUAUAUGGAGUGGUACCCAUAUCCUAUUUCCUGCGUCACAUGAAGGACUCUGAGCUGAUUAUGAAGCACCAUGGACUUGGCCCCCAGGGUGCCAAAGCUUUAUCUCUUUCCUUGAUGACCAACACCUCCAUCGUAAAGUUAAACCUGAGUGAUAAUUGGCUGAAUGGAGACGGGGCAGCUGCAGUUGCAGAGAUGUUAAAAGAAAACUGUUACAUUUCAGAUGUUGAUUUAUCUGACAACAGACUUGGAGUUAAAGGAGCUGCGGCCCUUUCUGCUAUGCUUCUGGAGAAUACGACAGUUGUUACCCUUAAACUUUCAGGAAAUGAGUUUAAUGACCAUGCAGCUAAGUACCUAGCCGAUGCCCUCCCGGCUAACAAUAAAAUGGAAUCUCUGGAUCUGAGUCACAACAUGCUUGGUGACACAUCAGGUGAGCUUCUUGGAAUGGCAAUAGCAGAAAACACUGGACUAAAGGAGCUUAAUAUCAGCUGGAACUACUUCCGCAGCCAAGGAGCAGCUGCCUUAGCCAGAGGCUUCGAGGCAAACGUAUUCCUCAGAGUUCUGGACCUUUCCUACAAUGGCUUCAGUAACAACGGAGCAGCUGCCCUGGGGGAGGCUCUUAAAGUCAACAAUGUGCUGGAAGAGCUCAACAUUAGCAAUAACCGCAUUUCAGUGGAAGGAGCUCUGCGCUUUGCAGUAGGCCUGAAAGAAAACCGGACUCUGAAGAGCCUUAAUAUGGCCAGAAAUCCCAUGCAGAGUGAAGGCUGCUUUGGGAUUCUCAAAUCGAUACAAGCAAAUUCCGGGGCCGUGGUAGAAAUCCUGGACUUCUCAGAGAUCCUUGUGAACCAAGACUUUGCAGACCUGUGUGAUGCUGUGAAAAUGCUUUUCCCAAAUCUUCAGAUCAGACAUGGUGGAAAUGCAACAUUGCACAAAAAAGACCAACCGAAGGUUGAGAUCCAAUCUUGGUUCAGUGUGGAGGGUGAUUCAUAGAAUCCCUUGGCCUAAAAGGAACCACUUCAAGGUCACUUUGGGUAGGUCUGCACAGCCUGGGAGGCUCUUCCACAGGCUGCCUGGGUAGACAUACUCUUAGUCUAUGCCCCUGCACUGUGGCAAAGUCCUAAUAUCACUGACCAUCUCCAAGCCUUGACGUGAGGCUACAAGUGCCUCCCAUGGAAACAUUUGCCAUUCACUCAGUGAUGUCAUUGUUAAAAGCUUCUCCUUGCUGUAGCUUGAAAUUAAUUGGACUAGAUUCGCUGCUGUGACCUGGUGCUGGAUCUCACCAGCAGGGCGUUCUCCUGGUGCAGGACAGUCCCCAGUGGGUACAGAGCCGGCAUAAUUAGCUCCUUACUCUACCUUUCUCCCUCAGCCUUCUGCACAGGGCCUUUGUCAGGGCAGGCGGGAGCUUGCCUGGAAUACUCUGUGCCCAGCUACACCUUCUGCUUGGGGCCGUAGCCUGUUGCCAUAGACUAGGGCAACCUGAAGAGUGCAUUAAUCUAGGCUGGGGCCGUGACUAACAUAGAACCAGACCCCAAUUCAGGGAGCCGCAGUCAACUACUUUUCAUUGAUUGUAAAGCCAAUAGGAACCAUUGUGAUAAUCCAGUCUGACCUCCUGCAUAACACAGGCCAUAGUAUUUCACUCUGUGAUUCUUGCAUUCAGCUCAUAUCUUCUGCUUGAGCAAGAGCAGAUCUCUUAGAAAGAGCCUCCAGUUUUAAGGCUUUGAGAAUCCACCACACCAUAGGUAAGUUGUUCCAGUAGCUAAUAGCCCUCACACCUUAUUUGGAGAAAACGAAUGGUGUAGCGUAUGGAAUAGGACAGUAUCCCUUUAAAUAGUUUGGGGGCCCUCUAGUGUACUCCAUGUUCUGUGUUUUGGUUUCUGGCAGCUUCUAAUCAGAGAAGCAAUAUAGGUAGCUAGACGUGGAAUGUGUGUGUAUAUUCAGUAAACAGGGUUAUUUGGGACUCAACUGUGUUUGUGCAGAUUCUUCAUAUUUUAUUUGUUUUGUAAAGACCCAACAGAUAGCAUAGUGAGCAGGGCACUAGACUGGGACUCAGGAGACCUGGCUUCAGUUUCCAGCUGAGGAAGAGAUUUCUUGUGUGAUGUUGAGGAAAUCGCUUAGGCCUUGUCUACAUGAGAAAGUUCCACCAAUUUAACUUAAACUGGUUUUUAAACCAAGUUAACUAAAUUGGUGCAAACCCCUGUGUGGACACACUUGUUUUGGUUUAGGUUUUGCUUAAGUUAAACCUGUCCCUAACUGAUUUAAGAUGAACCAAAAUAAACCUGAUUUAUACCAAAAUAAGUGUCCACAAAACCUUUUUACACCAGCUUAACUAACCUGGUUACACUUGCUUAUGGCAAGAUUUUAACUUUCCCAUGUAAACGUAUCCUUACUCUACACUGUGCCUCGGUUCCUCAUCUCUGAAAAAGGGAUGGGAUACCCUCACAGGAGGGUAGGGGCUUCUGAAGAUGAACUUCAUUAAUGAGCGUGAGGUGCUCAGACACUGUCAGAGGGGGGUAUAUAAAUACCUAGGUAAGUAGAUUAUUUACCCAGCUUCAGAUCCCAGCCUUUGGAUCUCAUUCUUCCUUUUUCUCAGAGAUAAGAGAGCUCUGCUAUCAGAAAUCUUCUCCCUCUGUAGGUCCUUGUAGGCUGUGAUCAUCCCCUCUUAACCUUUCUUUGAAUUAACUAAAUAGAGCUUAUUUAGUCUCUCGCUAUAAGGUAGGUUUUUCCAAAUCUUAGAUCAUUCUUGCAACUCUUUUCUGAGCUCUCCCAAAUUUAUCAACAUCAUUUUUAAAGGGUGGACACCAGAACUGGAUACAGUAUCCAGUAGUAGCCUCACCAGUGCCAUGAACAAGCCACCACCUCUCUCCUAUUCAAUAUUCUCCGGUUUAUACAUCCAAGGAGUCAGUGCCUUCACUGUCUUAGCCACCACAUCACACUGGGAGCUCGUGUUCAGUUGGUUUCUGCCAUGAUUCCUUAAGUCCUUUCCCCAGUCACUGCUUUUCAGGGUACAGUCCCCAUCCUGUAAUCUAUGUUUUUGGUUCCUAGAUCCAUUGCACCUUGCAUUUGGCUGUAUUAAAAUUGUAGCACCAGGAGGUAUCAAAAUGCCUAGAAAUCAUAAAACAGCACAGGCACCCAACCUUAACUCUUCCCUCAGUUUGAUAACAAUAGCAACUGGGAACGUAACAGUACCUUACCCCUCCCUGACCAUUCCUCUGUGCCCAUCACAGCUUCACAUCAGCAUAAAGUUCUAUGGACCCUUAUGGUGCUUUGUGUAGAACCAUUGCUUCAUUGUCCAGUUUUUCUAACAAUCCCACAAGAAUUGGCGUCAGGGCGAGCCCAGCUGUACAAUAGCAACCUGAAUGUCACCGUAACAAAGUUUGGGCUGAGUGUGAAUAAAUGGUCUUUUUCUAUUCUGUAGGUUUCCCAGGCAUUUUCGUAACCCUACAUGUGCUCAGUGGAAUCAAAGGUCUUUCCUUUUAUUUGUGACUGGAACUGGAUGAGCCUUGGACACCCCAAAAUAUGUGACCCUUUGAUUAGUCCUUCUUUCGAUCUAUCUUGCAUUGAAUGGUGGGGACAGUUACCAUCUAUAAAUUGCCCCUCCCAGGCCCCAAACAAUGAAAUUUUCUCCAAGAGGCACCUUGUUGAAUGUGCCAAAGUAUGAAACUGCCCCUACCAUUGUCCUGGUAAAAUAGGUUCCUGAUAUUCUGGAUUUUGUUGAAGCUUCACUAUUGGUACAGAAUGAAUGUGUUUGUCCUGUUCAGUGUUGUGGGGAAAUCUGGUUGUAUCAUCUGUGCUGGGGGGAUAGCUCAGUGGUUUGAGCAUUGGCCUGCUAAACCCAGGGUUGUGAGCUCAAUCGUUGAGGGGGCCAUUUAGAGAACUGGGGAAAAAAUCUGUCUGUGGAUUGGCCCUGCUUUGAGCAGGGGGUUGGACUAGAUGACCUUCUAAGGUCCCUUCCAACCCUGAGAUUCUAUGAAUGAAAUUUUGUUUACUAUCACUUUUCAGCAAAUAAUGAUAUUUUUAAAUAAGCGAUAUAACUUCUUGAUAAAAUAAUGUGGAGCUAAAUGAAAUUUGUCCUGUAAUUGUGAGAAUGGUUUCAAAUUUUUAUAUCUAAUAAAUAUUUA
This is an RNA transcript of Mauremys mutica (yellowpond turtle), 4486 nucleotides long. It is a transcript of the gene named leucine rich repeat containing 74B, with no coding region annotated. The transcript has 11 exons. NCBI's taxonomy places the organism in Eukaryota, Metazoa, Chordata, Testudines, Geoemydidae. The record is from RefSeq and is a predicted model, not a curated record.